AUGCGACGGCAUGACUGCUCGCCCGCAAGGGUGAAUCGUCAACGAGCAGAAGAUGACAAUGACAUGGCAGGCCGCGGCGUCAACGACGAAGGAGCUUUUGGUGCAGUAGCCCGAGAGGAGAAUGGCAAUUUUAUUGCGGCUGCCUCAUGGCUCAUGCCUCACGUUCCUAAUGUAGACUCAGCGGAAAUGACUGCGAUCAGAAAUGGAUUCUAUUUGGCGGCGGGCAUCGGCUGUAGCAAGCUGAUAACUGAAUCUAAUAGCUCUUUUGCUGUUGAUGCUAUGAAAGGUGAAAACGAUUAUGCAGGACCUUCCGGUCCAGUGACGAUGGAGAGUAAACAGCUGAUGAAGGGAUUUGGCCAAGUUGAUUUCUUACAUUGUUUUAGAGAGGCCAAUGAGGUGGCGAAUACUAUAGCAAAAUAUGCUUUUAGCUUUAGUACCUCUUGUGUUUGGGAUGCUAUCCCUAACUUUAUUUCAUCUUCCCUUGUAAACGAUCUUUCCAUUAUUUGA
Molecule: ribosomal RNA, 507 nt
Filed under: Triticum aestivum (bread wheat)
Lineage: Eukaryota; Viridiplantae; Streptophyta; Magnoliopsida; Poales; Poaceae
Description: partial small subunit ribosomal RNA
Source: RNAcentral